Molecule: ribosomal RNA, 442 nt
Filed under: Bacillus sp. CM10
Lineage: Bacteria; Bacillati; Bacillota; Bacilli; Caryophanales; Bacillaceae
Description: bacterial SSU rRNA
Rfam family: Bacterial small subunit ribosomal RNA
Source: RNAcentral
ACAGAGUGACAGGUGGUGCAUGGUUGUCGUCAGCUCGUGUCGUGAGAUGUUGGGUUAAGUCCCGCAACGAGCGCAACCCUUGAUCUUAGUUGCCAGCAUUCAGUUGGGCACUCUAAGAUGACUGCCGGUGACAAACCGGAGGAAGGUGGGGAUGACGUCAAAUCAUCAUGCCCCUUAUGACCUGGGCUACACACGUGCUACAAUGGACGGUACAAAGGGCAGCGAGACCGCGAGGUUUAGCCAAUCCCAUAAAACCGUUCUCAGUUCGGAUUGCAGGCUGCAACUCGCCUGCAUGAAGCUGGAAUCGCUAGUAAUCGCGGAUCAGCAUGCCGCGGUGAAUACGUUCCCGGGCCUUGUACACACCGCCCGUCACACCACGAGAGUUUGUAACACCCGAAGUCGGUGAGGUAACCUUUUGGAGCCAGCCGCCUAAGGUGGACAG